UCUUUCUGGCAGUUGUACCAUUUGGGUUC
Molecule: non-coding RNA, 29 nt
Filed under: Homo sapiens (human)
Lineage: Eukaryota; Metazoa; Chordata; Mammalia; Primates; Hominidae
Source: RNAcentral